Molecule: ribosomal RNA, 154 nt
Filed under: uncultured Pseudomonadota bacterium
Lineage: Bacteria; Pseudomonadati; Pseudomonadota
Description: uncultured proteobacterium partial 16S ribosomal RNA
Rfam family: Bacterial small subunit ribosomal RNA
Source: RNAcentral
CGGUAGGCUUAACACAUGCAAGUCGUGCGAGAAAGUAUCUUCGGAUAUGAGUAGAGCGGCGGACGGGUGAGUAACGCGUAGGAAUCUACCUAGUAGAAGGGGAUAGCCCGGGGAAACCCGGAUUAAUACCGUAUACCUCCUUCGGGAGAAAGAA